Molecule: ribosomal RNA, 1343 nt
Filed under: uncultured bacterium
Lineage: Bacteria
Description: 16S ribosomal RNA
Rfam family: Bacterial small subunit ribosomal RNA
Source: RNAcentral
GACGAACGCUGGCGGCGCGCUUAACACAUGCAAGUCGAACGGAAAGGCCCUGCUUUUGUGGGGUGCUCGAGUGGCGAACGGGUGAGUAACACGUGAGUAACCUGCCCUUGACUUUGGGAUAACUUCAGGAAACUGGGGCUAAUACCGGAUAGGAGCUCCUGCUGCAUGGUGGGGGUUGGAAAGUUUCGGCGGUUGGGGAUGGACUCGCGGCUUAUCAGCUUGUUGGUGGGGUAGUGGCUUACCAAGGCUUUGACGGGUAGCCGGCCUGAGAGGGUGACCGGCCACAUUGGGACUGAGAUACGGCCCAGACUCCUACGGGAGGCAGCAGUGGGGAAUAUUGCACAAUGGGCGGAAGCCUGAUGCAGCAACGCCGCGUGCGGGAUGACGGCCUUCGGGUUGUAAACCGCUUUCGCCUGUGACGAAGCGUGAGUGACGGUAAUGGGUAAAGAAGCACCGGCUAACUACGUGCCAGCAGCCACGGUGAUACGUAGGGUGCGAGCGUUGUCCGGAUUUAUUGGGCGUAAAGGGCUCGUAGGUGGUUGAUCGCGUCGGAAGUGUAAUCUUGGGGCUUAACCCUGAGCGUGCUUUCGAUACGGGUUGACUUGAGGAAGGUAGGGGAGAAUGGAAUUCCUGGUGGAGCGGUGGAAUGCGCAGAUAUCAGGAGGAACACCAGUGGCGAAGGCGGUUCUCUGGGCCUUUCCUGACGCUGAGGAGCGAAAGCGUGGGGAGCGAACAGGCUUAGAUACCCUGGUAGUCCACGCUGUAAACGGUGGGUACUAGGUGUGGGGUCCAUUCCACGGGUUCCGUGCCGUAGCUAACGCUUUAAGUACCCCGCCUGGGGAGUACGGCCGCAAGGCUAAAACUCAAAGGAAUUGACGGGGCCCCGCACAAGCGGCGGAGCAUGCGGAUUAAUUCGAUGCAACGCGUAGAACCUUACCUGGGUUUGACAUGGAUCGGGAGCGCUCAGAGAUGGGUGUGCCUCUUUUGGGGUCGGUUCACAGGUGGUGCAUGGCUGUCGUCAGCUCGUGUCGUGAGAUGUUGGGUUAAGUCCCGCAACGAGCGCAACCCUUGUUCACUGUUGCCAGCACGUUAUGGUGGGGACUCAGUGGAGACCGCCGGGGUCAACUCGGAGGAAGGUGGGGAUGACGUCAAGUCAUCAUGCCCCUUAUGUCCAGGGCUUCACGCAUGCUACAAUGGCUGGUACAGAGAGUGGCGAGCCUGUGAGGGUGAGCGAAUCUCGGAAAGCCGGUCUCAGUUCGGAUUGGGGUCUGCAACUCGACCUCAUGAAGUCGGAGUCGCUAGUAAUCGCAGAUCAGCAACGCUGCGGUGAAUACGUUCCCGGG